CAAGAUGCCACUUUUCUUUACUUACUCUAUUGUAUUUGACAUUUUGCUUUUUACAGGUUACUUGUAAAAGCCCCGGUGAGGAGUGAUCCCCAUCUGGGGCAUGUUCCAGCAGACGUGGUGGGGUGUGACAGCGAGGAACGCCCGCUGCCUGACUCGUCCUCAAGCUUGCUGCAUCCUCGCUGCCUGCCGUCACCCUGCACAGGAGGAGCUCCAAGGUCGCACGUGUCCCCACGGCAAGCCUGCUCCUUGUAAUGCAAGAUAUGGCUCCUUGGGGGCUGGCAGAAUCAUGCCAUCAGGACUGAGCGGUAAAUAAUAAGCCUGUUUCUGCCUCCUUAGCUUAGAUGACACAUCCAGAGGACUGAUACCGGCUGGGGCAUGAGGUCCUGUGCUCAUUUCAUACAGACCAUUACCGCAGAGCAACACGUCUGGCUUAGCUGCGUGUAGCAUCACAGACAACACAAAUACACUGCUCCAGCAAGGCGUUUGUCAAAUGCGGAAAGUAUCACAGGCAAAUUCCAUCUUGGGACUUCUUCAGGGACCAACGCAUGCAAAAACAUCUGGCAAGGCAGGGGAAUAGUUUUGAAACUUUAUAUUUUUUUCUAAAGAUGUACAGUGUUCAAUCAUAGCCUUAUAGUUAUUCUUUGUCUAGGGUAGAAUAUAAUGCAUGAAAAGUCAAAAAGCAGCAAGCUCAUUCAGCGAGAUCAACAGUAGUUCAUUUUAUAGCAUGUGCAACAGUGUCUUAUUUUGUGCUUGACACAGCAAACAUUCCUAGUGUCCAGCCAGCGUCUUAGAAGCUUUAUAAAGAGACAGACGAAGCAAGAAGUACUGCAAGCUGCUUUUGUGUCUUCUGCUGGAUGCCCUCAGUGCCUUGCAAAUGCCUGGGAGUCCAAAGCAGGACGCAGAAGUUGGCGUCCUCUGUUUACACGUGGGAAAACAGAAGUUGCACCUGCUCUCAAGGAUACCACCCAAGGGUAAAUACGGAGAGGGCACAAAGCCAGCAGCGUGAGUGCAGUUUCCAUGGGAAAUGCAGGCAGGUAUCUCUACAUGGAGUAAAAUACCAGGCUCUGGGUGUCUGCUCCAUUCCCCUGCUCUGGGAUGUGGCGAUGAGCACCCAGUCUCCAGAGCAUGGAGACUGCUUGGGUGGCUGAGCUCCCUUAAAAGAGGAGUUCAAAACUGCAUCUCAAGCACCCCUUUGCCAGAACAGAUCAGGAAUUGCAGCUUUUCUUGAGUAAAAUUUCAGUCAGG
RNAcentral lists this long non-coding RNA (1245 nucleotides) under Anser brachyrhynchus (Pink-footed goose). Its description in RNAcentral is "lncRNA (ENSABRG00000015231.1)". The record is from RNAcentral. Lineage: Eukaryota; Metazoa; Chordata; Aves; Anseriformes; Anatidae.